Molecule: ribosomal RNA, 899 nt
Filed under: Periconia delonicis
Lineage: Eukaryota; Fungi; Ascomycota; Dothideomycetes; Pleosporales; Periconiaceae
Description: SSU rRNA
Rfam family: Eukaryotic small subunit ribosomal RNA
Source: RNAcentral
GCGAACGGCUCAUUAAAUCAGUUAUCGUUUAUUUGAUAGUACCUUACUACUUGGAUAACCGUGGUAAUUCUAGAGCUAAUACAUGCUAAAAACCCCAACUUCGGGAGGGGUGUAUUUAUUAGAUAAAAAACCAAUGCCCUUCGGGGCUCUCUGGUGAUUCAUAAUAACUUCUCAGAUCGCAUGGCCUUGCGCCGGCGACGGUUCAUUCAAAUUUCUGCCCUAUCAACUUUCGAUGGUAAGGUAUUGGCUUACCAUGGUUUCAACGGGUAACGGGGAAUUAGGGUUCGAUUCCGGAGAGGGAGCCUGAGAAACGGCUACCACAUCCAAGGAAGGCAGCAGGCGCGCAAAUUACCCAAUCCCAAUACGGGGAGGUAGUGACAAUAAAUACUGAUACAGGGCUCUUUAGGGUCUUGUAAUUGGAAUGAGUACAAUUUAAACCUCUUAACGAGGAACAAUUGGAGGGCAAGUCUGGUGCCAGCAGCCGCGGUAAUUCCAGCUCCAAUAGCGUAUAUUAAAGUUGUUGCAGUUAAAAAGCUCGUAGUUGAACCUUUGGCCUGGCUGGCGGGUCCGCCUCACCGCGUGCACUCGUCCGGCCGGGCCUUUUCUUCUGGAGAACCGCAUGCCCUUCACUGGGUGUGUUGGGGACCAGGACUUUUACUUUGAAUAAAUCAGAGUGUUCAAAGCAGGCAUUUGCUCGAAUACGUUAGCAUGGAAUAAUAGAAUAGGACGUGCGGUCUUAUUUUGUUGGUUUCUAAGACCGCCGUAAUGAUUAAUAGGGACAGUCGGGGGCAUCAGUAUUCAAUUGUCAGAGGUGAAAUUCUUGGAUUUAUUGAAGACUAACUACUGCGAAAGCAUUUGCCAAGGAUGUUUUCUUAAUCAGUGAACGAAAGUUAGGGGAU